CAAGGAUCGUGUGUAUUUACCCAAAAUUAGGUUUUGCAAUUUUAUUGUUUAAAAAUUCGCAUAAUUAUGCUCGUAAACAUUCUAGUAAUACGGUAACUGUGAGGAGUGUUGUUAUUAUGGUGGUUGGUUUGCAGGUCUGGGGAUAUGGCGGCCAACAGGGAAGCUCAGAGGAAGGCUACACACAAUGAAGGUGCUGCAAAUUCAAUACUGAAAGUUAGAGUGUACAACAGAUGUACAUGUACGUACGUGGUCAUAAUCAAAUAGAAGCAUUUCCCACAAAGUACAGUUACGAAGCUUUAACAUCAAAUCUGCCACUUCUAAAACUAGUGUUCAAGCUGGCGCUGUGCUAAUGCCUCUCGCCAUGUUUUUGCUUUCGCUCAAAAGUAUUAGAGUGUUAUCUAUAAUGAAUUUUAUAUUAAAGUUAGCUUAUCUAUAUAAAGUCACUGAGAAGAAAAGACUUAUUUACAUGCAUCUAUUGUUGUUAUUUAUUGUAUUAUGUGGCUUACCAGGACCUCAAGAAAGAAGAAAAUUGAUUCUUCCAGGAUCUGUAGUUCAGUGUAUAUAAUAUCUAAGAAGAAAAGACCUGUGUACAUGCAUAUUGUUAUCUAUAUUGUUAUAUGGUAGUGUUUUGUGGCUAAUACCAGGCCCUCAAGACAAAGAUGAUUUUGCCAGAAGAAUCUGGAUCUUGGAUAUCACACAUGGGGAAUGAGCGCGCAUGCGCAUUACAUACACAGGAAUAAUUAAAGGGUGUGUCCAAAGAGAUAAAUGGCUACUGCUAGCUAGCUGUUUUAACAGAUAUUUUCUGAGUAUUGUAGCUAACAAAAAGCUAGCGCUUUACUGCAAGGCUAACUCAUAUGUUGAAUAGAAAGUUUGUGAGGACAGAUGAUGCUAUGAAAGAUUCUGAAGAGACUGCAACAGCCUUCAAUGUGAGUCAAACUAGCCAUAACUCAAGAAAGAAGCUUUAGUUUGCUAAUCCAAGAAUCAAAAUCCAAGAGAACGUGGCUAGAAGCCUAUAGAAGCUGUUAGUUUUCGUCGCAUUGCAACCGUUGAGCAGUUAUAGCUGGAAUACCCACACAGACAGACAGACAGACACACACACAGUCAGCUUUACCGUAUCUCUCGUGCGGCUACGCCUCGAGGCAUAACUAAUAACUUGUUUUGUAGAGGCUAUCUAAUGCUGUAAACGCAUCCUUAAUUAUGCCUUGGUUUUUAUACUGUACAGUGGUGUACGUGUGUGUGUGUGAGGUCAAGGUUCAUUCAUUUUGCCAAUUGGCUCAGCUUCAUUGUACAUGCCCUAAACACGAUAAUUACCAGUUGUUGUUGUUCUUCCCACGCCCAGUUGAGCGUUGUUGGCGUCGGGACAGGAUCAACGAGCUCAUCAAGAUACUGGCUCAGAUAGUGCCUGCUUGUCAGAAGAAAGACGCAACUAUACUGGUUGCAUUGUCGGGUAUGUGUACAGUAUGUGUACAGCAAGGGAACGGUACUGGACAAGACAGUGGACUACUUGAAAGAGCUCGUAUUUCAAUCCUCUCAACAGUAGUGUACAGUAUAUAUUAUAAAUGCUGUCACAAACCAACAACAAUGGCGGUGGUAGUGGUGGUGGUCUCUCUGCCGCGGCUGCUGCUAGUCUGCUCAACACUCUGAUUCUGGCUCAGAAUGUGCUCACAAGCAACUCAAGUGCUGGUAGCCCCGGGCAAGAUUCAAUGUCUAUGGAAACGGUGGACCAAUCCUCUCAACAGUAGUGUACAGUGUAUUAUAAUUGUGGACUGUUUAUACUGUUCUAGUUUUAACGUGUGUUUUUUAGUAAUCUCUCCUUCACUUACUAUAGCUACAUUGUCAGUAUUAUUAUGUAUACAUAGUUUUUAUACAUGAUAUUUGUGUGGAGCUCUUUCAGAAGAAUAUUGUAGCAAAGCCCAUUUAUAUGUAACCACGCCCAUUAUAAUUAUGUGCAGCCUAGCCUCCAUCUCAAGCCGCACUUCCUAGAAAGUUAGCCUGGUAAUCGACUGCUUGUGCAUGAGCUAACCAUUAGCUGGCAUUGAGAAGAACCUUCAUCAAGAACAAGGACACUGCCGAGGGUAGCACUUCAGUGCUCUAGUUCUAAUUGUAGAUUGACUGAUCGAUUUGUCUUCUGUACUAUUGUUUGAUUUUUCCGCCCCUCAUCUUUUCCGCCCCCCAGUUAUGUGGCCAUUUUUCAGCCCGGCCAAGUGUUGAGGAGACAAGAAGAGGCACUGAGAAUGGAGGUAGAGGCGUACUAUGCUGCUAAGAAGGCCACUCAGUGUGACUAUGACCGUGUGACUCUUUAACCCCUCAGUUCCAUUAGGAUAACUGGGGGCCGGAAAAGAUAAGCCUACUAUGCUGCUAAGAAAGAGAGGGGCCUCACGUAAACUGGCCACUCAGUGUGACUGUGAUCAUGUGACUCUUUAACCCCUCAGUUCCCGAGCCCCACCCCUCACUGUCUGACUCGGAAGAGGAGAUAGACUUUGUAUUCUGGGAGAAGGCGUCCACCCUACCCUCGGACAAGACCCCAACCAAGGACCUGAACUUGUUAUGAGACUGUUAAAUAUUAUUUUGUCUGUUUUUGUACUAUUUUCUGGCAAUGUAAUUAUGUAUGUACCACUUCAUGUCAUCAUAAUAACUAUAAUUAAAUUCUGUUGCAA
Long non-coding RNA from Halichondria panicea, 2657 nucleotides. RefSeq lists it as uncharacterized. The transcript is spliced from 4 exons. The record is from RefSeq and is a predicted model, not a curated record. NCBI's taxonomy places the organism in Eukaryota, Metazoa, Porifera, Demospongiae, Suberitida, Halichondriidae.